This 640-nucleotide long non-coding RNA is filed under the name Homo sapiens (human). RNAcentral's name for it is "non-protein coding DLGAP4-AS1:15". The record is from RNAcentral. Lineage: Eukaryota; Metazoa; Chordata; Mammalia; Primates; Hominidae.
GUUUCCGGAGCGCCUACUGUGCUCCUUGCCGGGGUGGGGGUCGUUACCGAGUGGGAACUUCUGCAAAUCCUGACUUUUGUCACUUCGCGCCCCGCACAAGAUGUCCUGCCGGCGGUGCGAUUGGUCCCGUUGCUUCGAGGGGAAACUGAGGCCACUUAGUCCGGGCACUUACCCGCAGCUAGUUAAGGACUAGGCUCUGAUGGAGACGCUUGUUACGACCUCAAUGGCCUGUAGAAUCUGGGAGGCCGCCUCCGACCUAAGCCCAAAAAGCACAUGAUCGGGCUCACAGGGGGCGGCCAGAGGUGAAAACAGCCAACGCUUUACAACGACGCUGUGCGGGGCACUUCGUGUGUGUCAUCCCGUCUCAUCCUCGGGUGAUAGGAACUGUUCAUUCGGGAAAAUUGCAAACAACUAAAUACCCCUCACCAGGAGCUGGCCCAUUAUAGCAACUCUGAGACCUCUCUACCGCAGGCUCUUAAAAUGGGACACCGCCGCCCGCCCCUCGGGCACCGGACACAGGCGCGGCUGAGGACUGACGGCCCCCUGGAAGCCACUCGGGAGUCCUAGAUUUUGCUGAAGGAAGAAGGGGCUGGAGAAAAUAAAAGGGCAGGAGUCUGGAGUGUGAUAACUGUGGCUUCGU